This 418-nucleotide ribosomal RNA is filed under the name uncultured archaeon. RNAcentral describes it as "bacterial SSU rRNA". It matches the Rfam family "Archaeal small subunit ribosomal RNA", at positions 102 to 522 of the family's 1478-position model. The record is from RNAcentral.
AGUCAACAUAACCAAAGGACGUGGAUAAACUCGGGAAACUGAGGCUAAACCGCGAUAGACCAAGAUACCUGGAAUGGUUUUUGAUUAAAAUCUACAUGGCCUUUGGAUUGGACUGCGACCGAUCAGGCUGUUGGUGAGGUAAUGGCCCACCAAACCUGUAACCGGUACGGGCUCUGAGAGGAGGAGCCCGGAGAUGGGUACUGAGACAAGGACCCAGGCCCUAUGGGGCGCAGCAGGCGCGAAACCUCUGCAAUAGGCGAAAGCCUGACAGGGUUAUUCUGAGUGACUUUCGCUAAGAAAGUCUUUUGACACCUCUAAAAAUGGUGUAGUAUAAGGGGUGGGCAAGUCUGGUGUCAGCCGCCGCGGUAAUACCAGCACCCCGAGUGGUCGGGACGAUUAUUGGGCCCUAAGCAUCCGU